GCUGCUGCGCAGACGGUCGCAGGUUCGAUUCCCUCUGCGGAGGCUGCAAGAGCGCCCGUGUAUACCACGCACUGCAUGCAUGUCGAUGGUGGUAAAAAGUAAUCUUGGCAUAUUGGAUACGGCGUUCAACAUAACAAGAGCGUUGUGUGGCAUGUAAAGUCCGCUGAAUUCCUUUUUUUUUUUUUGAGUAAGCUUGCCGGAAGUAGGCUUUGCUUGACAACAUCCGCCCACUCAGUUUGCAAAUGGCGUUCGAACAGCGGAGGGCGUCGGUCCGCAACCUUGCCUUCAUGGAUGUAAGCACUGAUUUUUGUGCGCGUUUUAACGGUGUGUUACGAGAAGACAAAUCGGCGGCAUCAGCGCAAGGCGAAACGAGCACUAAGAAAGCUGCGGAUUCCAGCCGGCGUUUGUGUAAGGAGGGCCUAGGCACUACCGGCCAUGGGCGGGAACCAGACGCCGACGGGCAUUACCGUGGCUCGUGGUUCGAACAAUGCGGGAACGGACAGCCGGGCCAAGCUACGUUUCCCAGCAGAAGAGGCAUCAACUUUGUCGAAGGCGGCACAAAAUUGGCUAAAGGAAUGCUGACUGCCCGUGCAUCUAGGACUUCCCGUGGCUCGUGGUUCGAAAACCGGGGGAACGAACAGUCGAGCCAAGUUCCGUUUUCCAGGUGACGAGAGAUCGACAUGGUCGUGUGCUCGACGCAUCUGCUGGACAAAGACUAUGCUGGUCUUUAUUGCGUCAUCACCGGGACAUGAGUCAGGGCAACACGGUGGUCUACUGUACGAGUCAGGCUGGCAAGACAGAGCGAGCUUGAGCCCAUCCAGUGAAGUAGCGCAUCAAGGACAGGGGAGGAAGAAAGUUGCAGACGUGCUUUGCCUAAAAAGGCGGCUCCCUGUCUUGCUGCCUGCACUGCGGACCUGGUGGCCAGGCCUUCGAGCACGAUGGUGUCUGGCAGCCUGCCCUGCUAACCUGGUGGCCAGCUGUUUGAGCAGCUUGUUGUCUUGAACCCCACCCUGUGGAUCUACUGACCAGCUGAUCCAACGACAUGGUACCUCGGUGUCCGCCCUGCUGACCUGGUUUCCAGCUAUUCUAGCUGAUUGAUGUCUUGCUACGCACCCUGCAGUCUUGGUGCUCAGCUGUUCUCGUCUCCUCCUAGGCUGCUGAUCGCAAGAACACGCGUUCGUUAAGGAAUCACAGGAGAGUCCCGUGGCUCGUGGUUCGAACAACGCGGGGACGGACAGCCGGGCCAAGCUACGUUUCCCAGCAGACGAGCCUACAAGACGCUGCUCAUAUUUCUUUUCGCCUGUUUGAACUUAAUUUUAUCUGGACGUACAAGUUAAUAGUGAAUGCAUCACCACGGGAAGUAACAAGGACCACAAUUUUCUCAAGGAGGGCUGACAAAAGAGAUGAUUGAUACACAAGCUGCCUACGUCAAAUCAUAAGAAGCUCAACGGUCACCAUAAUGACAGCAGAUCCCCUUGAACUAUGUUGUUGGACGAUGUGCCUCGCCAUGAAAUGUUUGCAAGUUUACCACACAGAGGGGUGUGAGCCCUGUCAGGAAAGCAGCAGUCUAGAGUUUUGUAUCGUACCAGGCGGGAAUGCUAAAAUUUGACAUACAAGCUUGCUUGCUUUUAAUGUUGUUUUAUGACACAUGGAGAAGGAAUUAACACGUUGAGUCGCAACUUUUCUUUUCCCACUCAUCAGAACCAUGACAACCAGAACAGAACAAAAUAUCAUGAUCGUAUUUGCUAUUGCACAAACUCUUUCAUCUGCUCUUUGCAAAUCAGCUUGGCAGGUAAUACCGCUAACUAUACAUGCUUCAGAAAAUUUUAAGCUGCACGAGGAAGACAGGACGUGAACAGAAAUGUAGACGCAUACACAGUUUAAAAUUCGCGCAGUUUAAUUGUGUUCUGCAUCUAUGAACCAUCCAGCCCAACAACAUGCCUUACUUCAGUAUCACAUGCUCCCUUACAACGAUAAUUUGUUACAUGAGAAUGCAAGUAAAUUUAAAACGGUGAGAAGCGCUCAUUGCAAUUUCGAUGAAAUCACACUUCACGGUGACUGAAUCUUUGGUAGUGACUCUUGCAUGGUUCAUGAGCAGUUAGCUUGAAAUAAGUAACUAGGCUAGCUAUGCACAGUAAGAUAGGAGAUGCUAAAAAAGGCAAGCUCACACAACCGAUCUACUUCACAUUUAAAGAACAUGACAAAUCACUAUACAUAAUUUUUCCUUCUUUUCAAACAGCAGAUGAUGAACCGGAGCACAGUAUGUUCGCAGAAAGUUCUUGAAAUAUACUCGAAGAAUAGCAAGUUUCGCUUAACAUUUAGCCAAUCAACAGAGGACGAGUAAGGGAAGUUUCAGUGUGGGAACUUGCCUUUGUCAUACAGUCGAGAGUAUGAUGGAAGCCCGUCUGGCCAGGAUGACGCAUACUUAAAAGGAAAAAGUCCGGACACUGACCAAAAUGGCUUAAAAUAAUGUUUACGUGUUCGAUUGUGAUGAUCUUGAACAAUGCUCCCGCGGGUGAGCCGAAAUGUAAAUACAUAUUUUAGACCAUUUUAAUCGGUGUCCGGGCCUCUUCCUUUUAAGUUUGCCAUGGCCAUCGCAAAUAUCUUUGCUUGUUGAAACGUGGCUCCAGGCUGAGGCUUCCCUUGCUCACCUCGGUUAUUCAGUUGAAGUUUUCAUCUCCUUGCAGCCUCUUUGCCAUGUUUGAAUAUAUAAACCGAGAUUUUCGUUUUACAACAUGAAACCGCAAAUUGCAUGUUCGAAGCAUCUGCGAUCAUUAAUUGGGCUUGAUUAUGUGUUUAUUUAGUCUUCUUGUUCAUACUUUUUGCAGGGCACUGUUGUCUACAUAAGGUUCGUUGCGAGUACUCAACUUGUAUCAAAGCCUUUACUGCCGCACCUCAACACUAAAUGUGCCGCUGAAAUAGCAAGAUCGCACGAUAUGUGCUAGAAAAUUUAGCAUAACUUUUUUGUCAUUUUCCUGCACUGCGUGCCUCUCGCCAAUGUAUUAUGUAAAGAAUGGGACAAAAUUGCAGCGCGAGCGGGGUAACUUUUCUUUUUUUUUAUUCUAGCUGAAAUCAUCGAACGCAGAUUAUACACGUGUAGUGUGAAACAUCUCAAGGAGCACAGCACGUAACUACAGUGCAAGGAUAGCCCGGCAUAAAUAUCGUUGUGUGAAGCUUCG
Dermacentor albipictus is the source of this 3179-nucleotide non-coding RNA. The record is from RefSeq and is a predicted model, not a curated record. Lineage: Eukaryota; Metazoa; Arthropoda; Arachnida; Ixodida; Ixodidae.